YGCAACAUACCUUUCGCUCCUGCUAAUGCAGCACUGCGGAGCUGCCUGCAGGAGAGGGGCCAAGGUCCUGCUCAGGAGCUCGUCCAGGCCUGAGAGCGGUAUCAAGCCCUUGAUUUGCCUAGGGCUCAUUUUUCCAGCUGUAGAGAUGUGUGAAUAA
Molecule: long non-coding RNA, 157 nt
Filed under: Apteryx rowi (Okarito brown kiwi)
Lineage: Eukaryota; Metazoa; Chordata; Aves; Apterygiformes; Apterygidae
Description: lncRNA (ENSARWG00000005612.1)
Source: RNAcentral